AUUGAACGCUGGCGGAAUGCUUUACACAUGCAAGUCGAACGGUAGAGGGAGCAACCCCUCGAGAGUGGCGGACGGGUGAGUAAUAGAUUAGCACGUGCGCAAUCGGGGUGGAUACGGUAGAGAAAGUUAGGCUACGACCGCAUACGAUCCAAGAAUGAAAGCAGGGGAUGACGAGACCUCGCGCGAUUGGAGCGGCCGAUAUGAGAUUAGGUAGUUGGUGGGGUAAAGGCUCACCAAGGGAACGAUCUGUAGCUGGUCUGAGAGGACGACCAGCCACACUGGAACUGAGACACGGUCCAGACUCCUACGGGAGGCAGCAGUGGGGAAUUUUGGCCAAUGGACGCAAGUUUGAUGCAGCAAUUCCGCGGGCAGGAUGAAGGUCCUCGAGUUGUAAACUGCUUUUGUACGGAACGAAAAGGUUGCUCGUAAUACGUUGGGCUUAUGACGGUACCGUAAGAAUAAGCACCGGCUAACUACGUGCCAGCCGCCGCGGUAA
RNAcentral lists this ribosomal RNA (496 nucleotides) under uncultured bacterium. Its description in RNAcentral is "partial 16S ribosomal RNA". It matches the Rfam family "Bacterial small subunit ribosomal RNA", at positions 30 to 523 of the family's 1533-position model. The record is from RNAcentral.